UACGUAGGGGGCAAGCGUUGUCCGGAAUCAUUGGGCGUAAAGAGCGUGUAGGCGGCCCGGUAAGUCCGCUGUGAAAGUCCAGGGCUCAACCCUGGGAUGCCGGUCGAUACUGCCGGACUAGAGUUCGGAAGAGGAGAGUGGAAUUCCACGUGUAGCGGUGAAAUGCGUAGAUAUGUGGAGGAACACCAGUGGCGAAGGCGACUCUCUGGGCUGUAACUGACGCUGAGGCGCGAAAGCGUGGGGAGCAAACAGG
RNAcentral lists this ribosomal RNA (253 nucleotides) under uncultured bacterium. RNAcentral describes it as "partial 16S ribosomal RNA". It matches the Rfam family "Bacterial small subunit ribosomal RNA", at positions 524 to 776 of the family's 1533-position model. The record is from RNAcentral.